CACGCUCCUGGCGACACGUGACCCAUCUGUCACGCUACUGUAAAAGUUGCUUCUGGACAGUGACCGUCUGGCGCUCCUGGAACUGAACGGCAGGACUCAAGACCCUGGAAAUUCGUGCUGGUUCCCUCCAGACUCAUAGCCAUGCCUGUUCAAGGAUGUCUGUUGCCCACUGCUUCCUGCCCAAGAUACUGGUAACCCUGGAAGGUAGCCCUUGUGCUGGGAGUGCUGUGUCAGAAACAUGGACACGAUUCCCUCUCUCUCCAUGAUGUUAGAAUAAUAAAUUGGCUGUUGGCUGUC
This is a long non-coding RNA of Apodemus sylvaticus (European woodmouse), 297 nucleotides long. RefSeq lists it as uncharacterized. Lineage: Eukaryota; Metazoa; Chordata; Mammalia; Rodentia; Muridae. The transcript is spliced from 2 exons. The record is from RefSeq and is a predicted model, not a curated record.